RNAcentral lists this ribosomal RNA (893 nucleotides) under uncultured archaeon. RNAcentral describes it as "bacterial SSU rRNA". It matches the Rfam family "Archaeal small subunit ribosomal RNA", at positions 23 to 922 of the family's 1478-position model. The record is from RNAcentral.
CUGACUGCUAUCGGAUUGAUACUAAGCCAUGCGAGUCAUUGUAGCAAUACAAGGCAGACGGCUCAGUAACGCGUAGCCAACCUAACCUAUGGACGGGAAUAACCUCGGGAAACUGAGAAUAAUGCCCGAUAGAACACUAUAUCUGGAAUGGUUUGUGUUCCAAAUGAUUUAUCGCCGUAGGAUGGGACUGCGGCCUAUCAGUUUGUUGGUGAGGUAAUGGCCCACCAAGACUAUUACAGGUACGGGCUCUGAGAGGAGUAGCCCGGAGAUGGGUACUGAGACGCGGACCCAGGCCCUAUGGGGCGCAGCAGGCGAGAAAACUUUGCAAUGUGCGAAAGCACGACAAGGUUAAUCCGAGUGGUUUGUGCUAAACAGACCUUUUGUUAGUCCUGGAAACACUAACGAAUAAGGGGUGGGCAAGUUCUGGUGUCAGCCGCCGCGGUAAAACCAGCACCUCAAGUGGUCAGGAUGAUUAUUGGGCCUAAAGCAUCCGUAGCCGGCUCUGUAAGUUUUCGGUUAAAUCUGUAUGCUCAACAUACAGGCUGCCGGGAAUACUGCAGAGCUAGGGAGUGGGAGAGGUAGACGGUACUCGGUAGGAAGGGGUAAAAUCCUUUGAUCUAUUGAUGACCACCUGUGGCGAAGGCGGUCUACCAGAACACGUCCGACGGUGAGGGAUGAAAGCUGGGGGAGCAAACCGGAUUAGAUACCCGGGUAGUCCCAGCUGUAAACUAUGCAAACUCAGUGAUGCAUUGGCUUGUGGCCAAUGCAGUGCUGCAGGGAAGCCGUUAAGUUUGCCGCCUGGGAAGUACGUACGCAAGUAUGAAACUUAAAGGAAUUGGCGGGGGAGCACCACAAGGGGUGAAGCCUGCGGUUCAAUUGGAGUCAACGCCGGA